Long non-coding RNA from Micropterus dolomieu (smallmouth bass), 330 nucleotides. RefSeq lists it as uncharacterized. The transcript has 2 exons. Lineage: Eukaryota; Metazoa; Chordata; Actinopteri; Centrarchiformes; Centrarchidae. The record is from RefSeq and is a predicted model, not a curated record.
CUCCUUCCAGAACAGAAAAAGGGCUUUGAUAAAAUAUUUUUUGAACCAGCUAAAAAGGAAUUUACCUCAACGCUUCUCCAAGACUGACGGGAUGGAAACCACACAGUGGUGACAGUACCAGGCCAUCAUCAUGUUCACCUGGAUAAGCCUGAAGUCGUCGCUCUGUAUGUGUUCAACUUCCUGCGAACCAAAGUGCUCUCACAGUCAGCCAGCCAAGAGCACAAGUUAAAAGCUACACACUCACAUUGAUGUCAUAUGUCAUACCGUUGUUUACAAGAGCAAACUGUGUGUUUACUUUAACAAAAGUAUUAAAGGUCCCAUGAAGUGUCA